CACUUUGCCCAAAUUUGCUCGAUUAGUCUAUUUAACAGCGAAUCUGACAAACCGGGCCCACAUGCAAGACAAUUUGUAUCCACUCCAUUUUUUCAACCAGCCCCUAUAUGUUUUAUUUUUUCCUUCUCUCCUCUUUUCUUCUUUCCCUUCUUUUUCUCCAUCUCCGGCUGGAGCAUCUCGCUGGAGCAGCACGCAACGGUGGGGAAUUAGGAAAAAGGAGAAGAUGCCGCAUGCCUCAAUCAAUCAUGCAUCCAUAUAUUCAUACAGGCAGGCAGAGCCAUGCGUCUCCGGUUAGGCCAGAGAUUCCGGACAUAGCUCGCGUGCCGGUCGGGGGCAGAGCAGGCCCCGCGGAGGCGGGGCGCUGCAGUCGGGCGGAGCAUGCAGGCGGCGUUGGCGGGGUCCCAAAACCGGGAGCAGAAGCGGAGGGCGUUGGCAGGGUCGCACAGGCCCGGCGGCGGCGGCCUGGGGUGCUUCCUCCGCCUGUCCGCGCCAUCUUCGCCCCAAUCUCCGAGAUCGGUCUUUCUCCGCCCCGAUCCCCAAUCCCGCGUGGUGUUCGAUCCGAAGGGAGGGGGCUACGGCUUCGCAGCAAAGAAUAACUCUAGCGGCGGCGGGGAUCGCCGACGUGCCGGCGAGGUACCUCAGGGAGAGGAGACCAGGGUGGGCGGCCGUAUACAUGGCAGCCAGAGCAGGUAAAGAAGAAGCUAUGGGGUUGGGGGAAAUAAAGAAGAAGCUCAGGGGGCUGGGAAAAAAAUAGAUUGUGUGACGUGGAUGUCAAUAAUAACCACGUAGGACCUUACAUGUGGGUCCGGUUUGUCAGAUUCGCUGUCAAAUAGACUAAUCAGUCAAAUUUGGGUAAAGUGAAAAUAACUACCCCUAUCAUAGUGGUCAGCUGAUGCGAACUCUUGGAGUGGUAGCUCCAUUAAACUCUAACCCCUAGAGUAGUGGUUUUGUGAAAUUUACUCUUAAUUCUUUCCUUUUUGUCUUAUACUUACAGG
This is a long non-coding RNA of Brachypodium distachyon (stiff brome), 995 nucleotides long. RefSeq lists it as uncharacterized. The record is from RefSeq and is a predicted model, not a curated record. Lineage: Eukaryota; Viridiplantae; Streptophyta; Magnoliopsida; Poales; Poaceae. The transcript has 2 exons.